GGUUAAGUUAGAGAAAGGGCGCACGGUGAAUGCCUUGGCACUAGGAGCCGAAGAAGGACGCGACGAACAGCGAUAUGCCUCGGGGAGUUGUAAGUAAACUUUGAUCCGGGGAUUUCCGAAUGGGGGAACCCACCAUCCGUAAUGGGAUGGUAUCCAUAACUGAAUACAUAGGUUAUGAGAAAGGUAGACCUGGGGAACUGAAACAUCUAAGUACCCAGAGGAAGAGAAAGAAAUAUUCGAUUACCUGAGUAGCGGCGAGCGAAACGGUAACAGCCCAAACCAAGGGGCUUGCCUUGGGGUUAUGUAGGACACUACACGGAGUUACAAAGAAACGAAGUAGACGAAGCGAUCUGGAAAGGUCCGCAGAAACAAGGUAACAGCCCUGUAAUCGAAACUUCGUUUCCUCCAGAGUGUAUCCUGAGUACGGCGGGACACGUGAAACCCCGUCGGGAUCCGGGAAGGACCAUCUCCCAAGGCUAAAUACUUCCUAGUGACAGUAUUUGAACCAGUACCGUGAGGAAAGGUGAAAAGCACCCCGGAGGGGAGGUGAAGAGAUCCUGAAACCGUGCCUACAGUAGUUGGAGCCCAUUAACAAGGUGACAGCGUGCCUUUGUAGAAUGAACCGGCGAGUUACGAUUACGUGCAAGGGUUAAGCUGAAGAGGCGGAGCCGCAGCGAAAGCGAGUCUGAAUAGGGCGAAUGAGUACGUGGUCAGCUGACGAAACCGUGUGAUCUACCCAUGUCCAGGGUGAAGUUCAGGUAACACUGAAUGGAGGCCCGAACCCACGCACGUUGAAAAGGUGCGGGGGAUGGUGUGGGUAGGUGAAAUGCCAAUCGAACUCGGAGAUGGCUGGUUCUCCCCGAAAUAGCUUUAGGGCUAGCCUCGAGGGAAAAGUAUUGGAGGUAGAGCACUGAUUGGACUAGGGUCCCCACAGGAUUACCGAAUUCAGUCCAAACUUAAGAUAUAAAUGUAUCCUCAAGGAGUCAGACUGCGAGUGCUAAGAUCCGUAGUCAAAGAGGGAAACAGCCCAGACCAUCAGCUAAGGUCCCCAAGUAUACGUUAAGUGGAGAAGGAUGUGGAGUUGCCCAGACAACCAGGAUGUUGGCUUAGAAGCAGCCACCAUUUAAAGAGUGCUGUAAUAGCUCACUGGUGAGUGACUCUGCGCCGAAAAUGUACCGGGGCUAAACGUAUCACCGAAGCUAUGGAUUGCACACCUUAGGUGUGCAGUGGUAAAGGGGAGCGUUCUAAGUGCUGUGAAGUCAGACCGGAAGGACUGGUGGAAGGCCCGCUUAGAAGUGAGAAUGCCAGUAUGAGUAGCGAAAAGAGUGAGAAUCCCCUCCGUCGAAAGCCCAAGGUUUCCUGAGGAAGGCUCGUCCGCUCAGGGUAAGUCAGGACCUAAGCCGGAGAGCGAAAGCGUAGGCGAUGGACAACAGGUUGAAAUUCCUGUACCACCUCCUCACCGUUUGAGCAAUGAGGGGACGCAGCAAGGUGGGUAAGCGCACUGAUGGAUAUGUGCGUCCCGGCAAUUAGGCUUGAGAAGUAGGCAAAUCCGCUUCUCGCGUGUGCUGAGUUGUGAUGGCGAGCGAAAUUAUAAUGGCAAGAAGUUCUGAUCCUACACUGCCAAAGAAAAGCCUCUAGCGAAUUGAGAGAGGUGCCCGCAUGCCGCAAACCGACACAGGUAGGCGAGAGAGAAAUUCUAGAACGCCGGGGAGAACUCUCGUUUAAAGGAAUAACAAAUGACCCGUAACUUCGGGAGAAGGGGUGCUCUGUUAGGAUGUUCGCGCCCGAAGGCCGCAGUGAAUAGAUCCAACAGCGACUGUUUAGCAAAAACACAGGUCUCUGCAAACCGCAAGGCGAAGUAUAGAGGCUGACACCUGCCCGGUGCUGGAAGAAGGUUGAAAGGAGGGUUAUCCGUAAGGGCUCUGAAUUGAAGCCCCAGUAUGGCCGUAACUAUAACGGUCCCUAAGGUAGCGAAAUUCCUUGUCAGGUAAAAGUUCGCAGCCGCACGAAUGGUGUAACGGUGGAUAUAUCUCGGCAAAGAGACCCGGUGAAAUUAUAUUACCUGUGAGGUAUUCACAGGUUACUACGACCGGACAUGGAGCCCAUGGAGCUUUACUGUAGCUUGAUAUUGGAUUUUGGUACAAUUUGUACAGGAUAGGUAGGAGCCUUUGAAACGUAGGCAUAGCUUACGUGGAGAACUGAUCGGUGGGAUACUACCCUGAUUGUAUUGAGAAUUCUAACCUAGGACCGUGAUCCGGUUCGGGGACAGUGUCAGGUGGGCAGUUUGACUGAGGCUGGUCGCCUCCUAAACAGUAACGGAGGGCGCCCAAAGGUUCCUCAGAAUGGUUGGAAAUCAUUCGUAGAGUGCAAAGGCAUAUUUAAGGAGCUUGACUGCAGGGCCUACAAGUCGAGCAGGGAUAAAGAUCAGGCUUAGAUGAUCCGGUGGUUCCGCAUGGGCAUGUCUCGCUGGAUAUCAUACCCUGGGGAUAACAGGCUUAUCUCCCAGAGUCCACAUCGACGGGAGGUUUGGCACUCGAUGUCGGCUCAUCGCAUCCUGGGGCAAGUAGGUCCCAGGGUUGGGCUGUUCGCCCAUUAAAGCCAGUACGCGAGAAACGGGUUCAGAACGUCGUGGAACAGUUCGGUCCCUAUCCGUCAUAAGCUAGGAAAUUUGAGGCUGUCCUUAGUACCCAUAAAGAGAGGACCGGGAUGGACAUACCGCUGGUGUACCAGUUGUUCCAUAGAACAUAAGCUGGAAGUAUACGUAUGGAAGGGAUAAGUGAAGCAUCUAAGCAUGAAGCCCCCCUCAAGAUGAGAUUUCCCUUGGAGUUAAUCCAGUAAGACCCCUUAAAGAUGAUGAGGUUGAUAGGUCUCGAAUUUAGAAGCACGGUGACGUGUGGAAGCAGGAGAUACUAAUCGGUCGAGGACUUAUCCCU
This 2933-nucleotide ribosomal RNA is filed under the name Anaerobacillus sp. HL2. RNAcentral's name for it is "23S ribosomal RNA". It matches the Rfam family "Bacterial large subunit ribosomal RNA". Lineage: Bacteria; Bacillati; Bacillota; Bacilli; Caryophanales; Bacillaceae. The record is from RNAcentral.